This 170-nucleotide ribosomal RNA is filed under the name uncultured rumen bacterium. RNAcentral describes it as "partial 16S ribosomal RNA". It matches the Rfam family "Bacterial small subunit ribosomal RNA", at positions 340 to 524 of the family's 1533-position model. The record is from RNAcentral.
UACGGGAGGCAGCAGUGGGGAAUAUUGGGCAAUGGGCGAAAGCCUGACCCAGCAACGCCGCGUGAAGGAAGAAGGUCUUCGGAUUGUAAACUUCUUUUAUGAGGGACGAAGGACGUGACGGUACCUCAUGAAUAAGCCACGGCUAACUCCGUGCCAGCAGCCGCGGUAAU